GACGAACGCUGGCGGCGUGCUUAACACAUGCAAGUCGAACGGAAAGGCCCCUUUGGGGGUACUCGAGUGGCGCACGGGUGCGUAACACGUGAGUAACCUGCCCUUGACUUCGGGAUAACUUCAGGAAACUGGGGCUAAUACCGGAUAGGAAUCCUUGCUGCAUGGUGGGGGUUGGAAAGCUUCUGCGGUUUUGGGUGGACUCGCGGCUUAUCAGCUUGUUGGUGGGGUAGUGGCUUACCAAGGCUUUGACGGGUAGCCGGCCUGCGAGGGCGACCGGCCACAUUGGGACUGAGGUACGGCCCAGACUCCUACGGGAGGAAGAAGUGGGGAAUAUUGCACAAUGGGCGGCAGCCUGAUGCAGCAACGCCGCGGGCGGGAUGACGGCCUUCGGGUUGUAAACCGCUUUCAGCAGGGGCGAAGCUUGUGGUGACGGUACCUGCAGAAGAAGCACCGGCUAACUACGUG
RNAcentral lists this ribosomal RNA (465 nucleotides) under uncultured bacterium. Its description in RNAcentral is "partial 16S ribosomal RNA". It matches the Rfam family "Bacterial small subunit ribosomal RNA", at positions 28 to 507 of the family's 1533-position model. The record is from RNAcentral.